CAGCAGCCACGGGAAUACAGAGGGUGCAAGCGUUAAUCGGAAUUACUGGGCGUAAAGCGCGCGUAGGUGGUUUGUUAAGUUGGAUGUGAAAGCCCCGGGCUCAACCUGGGAACUGCAUCCAAAACUGGCAAGCUAGAGUACGGUAGAGGGUGGUGGAAUUUCCUGUGUAGCGGUGAAAUGCGUAGAUAUAGGAAGGAACACCAGUGGCGAAGGCGACCACCUGGACUGAUACUGACACUGAGGUGCGAAAGCGUGGGGAGCAAACAGGAUUAGAUACCCGAGUAGUCCUGUCUCUUAUACA
RNAcentral lists this ribosomal RNA (301 nucleotides) under uncultured bacterium. RNAcentral describes it as "partial 16S ribosomal RNA". It matches the Rfam family "Bacterial small subunit ribosomal RNA", at positions 509 to 809 of the family's 1533-position model. The record is from RNAcentral.